AUUGAACGCUGGCGGCAGGCCUAACACAUGCAAGUCGAGCGGAUGAUGGGAGCUUGCUCCUGGAUUCAGCGGCGGACGGGUGAGUAAUGCCUAGGAAUCUGCCUGGUAGUGGGGGAUAACGUCCGGAAACGGGCGCUAAUACCGCAUACGUCCUGAGGGAGAAAGUGGGGGAUCUUCGGACCUCACGCUAUCAGAUGAGCCUAGGUCGGAUUAGCUAGUUGGUGGGGUAAAGGCCUACCAAGGCGACGAUCCGUAACUGGUCUGAGAGGAUGAUCAGUCAGACUGAAACUGAGACACGGUCCAGACACUUACGGUAGGCAGCAGUGGGGAAUAUUGGACGAUGGACGAGAGCCUGAUCCAGCCAUGCCGCGUGUGUGAAGAAGGUCUUCGGAUUGUAGAGCACUUUAAGUUUGGAGUAAGUGCAGUAAGUUAAUACCUUGCUGUUUUGACGUUACCAACAGAAUAAGCACCAGCUAACUACGUG
This 484-nucleotide ribosomal RNA is filed under the name uncultured bacterium. Its description in RNAcentral is "partial 16S ribosomal RNA". It matches the Rfam family "Bacterial small subunit ribosomal RNA", at positions 30 to 507 of the family's 1533-position model. The record is from RNAcentral.